GACCAUUUAUUUCCCCUUAUAGACCAUUUCUUUCCCCUACAGUUUAAGGUCAGACCAUUUAUUUCCCCUUAUAGACCAUUUCUUUCCCCUACAGUUUAGCUCAGACCAUUUAUUUUUCCCAUCAGACUCAGUUCUGUCUUGCUGCUCCACCUCGUUCACUGCAGUGGUGACACACUCCCAAGAUACCUGUUUGGCUGUGUUUGUCAACCCACUAUUUAGUCCACCUGUCUUCAAUCUCCUCUACCAUCGCUGUGAUCUCGUCUUCCACAAAGUUAGCUUUUCUCUUUUGGUCCAUGGCUAUUCCUGACUGAACCCUCAUCUGUUCUAGCAUUCUAUAAGGGGGAAAUCGCUGAUUGUAAGGCACGUUCAGGUGCCGUCAAUUUGAAGUUAAUUUGAGAUUUAUAGAUCACAGGAGCUUAAGUUACAAAUGGGCUUCUUAGAACCUGCGUCAGCAAAGGUUAUUUAUGCUCAGUAUCUUUUCUGACGCUAUUGAUCAUACGACUAAAUUCAGGUAUAAAUCUAAGAACAUAUUUUCACCUGGAGCAUGGUGUUCAUGACAACUGGACCGUUGUCAAACAGUUCCAUGAUUAGUAAGAAUUAUUAGGACAGAGUUAUAGGACAACUGUUCAACCACUAUUAUAGUUCUAUGAUUAGUGAGGAUCAGGACUACUGUUUAACCCCUAUUACAGUUCCAUGAUUAGUGAGGAUCAGGAUAGAUUUAUAGGACUACUGUUUAACCCCUAUUAUAGUUCUAUGAUUAGUGAGGAUCAGGGUAGAGUUAUAGGACUAUUACAGUUCCAUGAUUAGUGAGGAUCAGGAUAGAUUUAUAGGACUACUGUUU
This 841-nucleotide long non-coding RNA is filed under the name Oncorhynchus mykiss (rainbow trout). Its description in RNAcentral is "lncRNA (ENSOMYG00000059865.1)". The record is from RNAcentral. Lineage: Eukaryota; Metazoa; Chordata; Actinopteri; Salmoniformes; Salmonidae.